GCGAUGGAGGGGGAUAACUACUGGAAACGGGCGCUAAGACCGCAUAGCGUCGCAAGACCAAAGAGGGGGACCUUCGGCCCUCUUGCCCUCGGAUGUGCCCAGAUGGGAUUAUCUAGGAGGUGGGGUAACGGCUCAGCUACGACACUAUCCCUAUCUGGUCUGAGAAGAUGACCCGCCACUCUGGAACUGAGACACGGUCCACACUCCUACGGGACGCAGCAGUGGAGAAUAUUGCACAGUGGGCGCAAGCCUGACGCAGCCGUGCCGCGUGUAAGAAGAAUGUCUUCGGUUUGUAGAGUACUUUCAGCGAGGAAGAGUGCUUUGUGUUUAAUCACCACAGCGAUUGACGUUACUCGCACAACAAACACCGGCUAACUCCGUGCCAGCACCCGCGGUAACACAGAGGGUGCAAGCGUUAAUCAGAAUUACUGGGUGUAAAGCGCACACACGCGGUCUGUCGUGUCAUAUGUGAACUCCCCGGGCUCACUGUGAUAACUGUAUCCGACUCUGGCACGCUAGACUCUUGUAGAGGGGUGUAGAAUUCCGGGUGUAGCGGUAAAAUGCAUAGAGAUCUAGAAGAAUACCGGUGGCGAACGCGGCCCUCUGGACAAACACUGACUCACAUGUGCGAAAGCGUGGAGAACAAACAAGAUUAGAUACCCUGGUACUCCACGCCGUACACUAUCUCUACGUGCAUUUUGUGCCCUUGACGCGUGUCUUCCAGAUCUAACGCGAUAAGUCGACCGCGUGGGGAGUACGGCCGCGAGGAUAACUCUCAUAUGAAUUGACGGGCGCCCGCACCAGCUGUAGAACAUGUGUUAUAAUUCUAUGACACGCACAAAAUCUUACUCUCUCUUGACAUACAGAAGAACUUAACAAAUUAUGCUGUUGGUCCCUUUCGGAAACUCUGAAAACGGGCGCUGCAUGGCUGCUCUCCCGCUUGUGGUUGA
Molecule: ribosomal RNA, 950 nt
Filed under: Citrobacter freundii
Lineage: Bacteria; Pseudomonadati; Pseudomonadota; Gammaproteobacteria; Enterobacterales; Enterobacteriaceae
Description: bacterial SSU rRNA
Rfam family: Bacterial small subunit ribosomal RNA
Source: RNAcentral